Molecule: non-coding RNA, 1469 nt
Organism: Camellia sinensis
Lineage: Eukaryota; Viridiplantae; Streptophyta; Magnoliopsida; Ericales; Theaceae
Source: RefSeq, a predicted model, not a curated record
UUUUUUUAAUGACGUUUUUCAAAAACGUCAUGAAAUCUGCCCAGAUUUUUCAAAUUCUAAAAAAAUUAAACUAAAUCAUCUCGUUUUGUGGGCCAGUUAUUUUUUUAAAACAGUGGCUCAACUCAACGCAAUUGGAUCUUCAGAGGCGUGACUUCAGGAAAAGAGAGAAAUCAAGGCGUUGGAUCUUCAGAGGCAUCGGAUCUUCGAUCUCCAUCAAUUCUUCGGUUGUUUGGUCUGAAAAAUCUUGUUCUACUUGUGAUUUGAGUGUAUAUCUUCCUGAUUGUUCGAAUCCCUAUGAUCUAAAUCGAUCUAGGGCUCCAGAUUGAGCAGCAGCAAUGGUGAAUCGAUUUAUCUAGGGUUUCGAGUGCGGUGUUAAUGUCUCUGAUCAUGCGAGACAAGCAGGUGGUGUUGGAUGUGGAUCGUUGGAAACAAUAAAGCAUGUUGCAUUGAUGUGGAAAUCCUAUCAAGGUGCCUGGAAGCAAAGCUGACAGUUUGUUGCUGCUCUCUUAGCGGAGACAAAGAGGUCAUAUAUGUUGACAUUAAAUACAUGUUUAGUACUUCUUCAAAAAUCACCUCCCGCUACAAAGAAAGUACUUCGUUCUUUGGGCAGCUUAAAGAUACGUUUCAAAGCCAAGCAAGAAGUUAUGAAGCCUGUUACUUCUCCAUCCACAAAAUUCUUUAAAAUCAGAGUUAAGUAUGAGGCCAUUCUCUAGAGCCCCAGUAUUUGGUUCCACACACCAACCAAAAAAAUUAAAAAAAAUAAAAAUAAAAAAAAAGAAGAAGAAGAAGAAGAGCUAUUUGGGAAAGAAAACAUCAAUGAUCAAGAAGACUGUUAUCAUUGGGAAACCUAUUAAUCAAUAGCAAAGUUCUAGUUAAAAAAAUAACAUCAAAAUAACACAUUCUGUAAUUUGGCAAGACUGAGAAUCACAGCCUGCUUAACAGGCUACUAUGAAAAACAUGCUUCAUUUGACAAAAAAAAGCGAAAAAAGAUAUUUAAGACCUUUACCUGAACCGCCAUGGGUACCAACAGUUCUCAAUAGAAAAUUUUAUAGCAAGUUAAAACUGUAGCACAGGAGUUUACAAACUUGAAACCAACAUUGACAAAAUAAGUAGCAGUUCACAUUGAGAGAGAGAGACACAGAGAGAGGGAGGGGUAAGGGCAAUUAACAAGACUUGGAUAAUAUUUCAGUUACUGAAUUUUGGAUAGUGGGCAGAGAUAUGCCAAGAGGUAAUGAAUUUGUUCACUAGUUUUUAAUUUCUCACUUUUCUAAAUUUAUUAAAACAUGAUGUGAUUUGGUGUUGGAAAUUAGUGAAUAAUUGUAGCUUUUAAUUGUUUUAUUAACAAAACAAUUGAUGUGUUCUAAUUGAUGUUUUUUGGGAUGAUGUUGUGGAAUAUUUUGCUACAACAACUUGGUGAAGGAUGUGAUUCUACAAAGGUGUGCAACAGGGAAUCAUUUGGGCAGUACCUU